This 161-nucleotide unclassified non-coding RNA is filed under the name soil metagenome. Its description in RNAcentral is "partial internal transcribed spacer 1". The record is from RNAcentral.
CAGAGUGUAAAAACUCCUAAACCCUUUGUGAAUCUACCUAUUCUUGUUCCUCCGGUAGGCGGUCCCUGGGAGGGACCUAUAGCCCAUGUGGUGCCUGCCGAAGAACGUCCCAAACUCUGUUACCUGUGGUGUUAUUCUGAGUGAACUACAAAAUAAGAUAA